RNAcentral lists this ribosomal RNA (253 nucleotides) under uncultured bacterium. RNAcentral's name for it is "partial 16S ribosomal RNA". It matches the Rfam family "Bacterial small subunit ribosomal RNA", at positions 524 to 776 of the family's 1533-position model. The record is from RNAcentral.
UACGUAGGGUGCGAGCGUUGUCCGGAAUUACUGGGCGUAAAGAGCUCGUAGGUGGUUUGUCGCGUUGUUCGUGAAAUCUCACGGCUUAACUGUGAGCGUGCGGGCGAUACGGGCAGACUAGAGUACUGCAGGGGAGACUGGAAUUCCUGGUGUAGCGGUGGAAUGCGCAGAUAUCAGGAGGAACACCGAUGGCGAAGGCAGGUCACUGGGCCGCAACUGACGCUGAGGAGCGAAAGCAUGGGGAGCGAACAGG